RNAcentral lists this ribosomal RNA (700 nucleotides) under uncultured Shewanella sp. Its description in RNAcentral is "bacterial SSU rRNA". It matches the Rfam family "Bacterial small subunit ribosomal RNA", at positions 28 to 717 of the family's 1533-position model. The record is from RNAcentral. Lineage: Bacteria; Pseudomonadati; Pseudomonadota; Gammaproteobacteria; Alteromonadales; Shewanellaceae.
AUUGAACGCUGGCGGCAGGCCUAACACAUGCAAGUCGAGCGGCAGCACAAGGGAGUUUACUCCUGAGGUGGCGAGCGGCGGACGGGUGAGUAAUGCCUAGGGAUCUGCCCAGUCGAGGGGGAUAACAGUUGGAAACGACUGCUAAUACCGCAUACGCCCUACGGGGGAAAGAGGGGGACUUUCGGGCCUCUCGCGAUUGGAUGAACCUAGGUGGGAUUAGCUAGUUGGUGAGGUAAUGGCUCACCAAGGCGACGAUCCCUAGCUGUUCUGAGAGGAUGAUCAGCCACACUGGGACUGAGACACGGCCCAGACUCCUACGGGAGGCAGCAGUGGGGAAUAUUGCACAAUGGGGGAAACCCUGAUGCAGCCAUGCCGCGUGUGUGAAGAAGGCCUUCGGGUUGUAAAGCACUUUCAGUAGGGAGGAAAGGUUGUAAGUUAAUACCUUGCAGCUGUGACGUUACCUACAGAAGAAGGACCGGCUAACUCCGUGCCAGCAGCCGCGGUAAUACGGAGGAUCCAAGCGUUAAUCGGAAUUACUGGGCGUAAAGCGUGCGCAGGCGGUUUGUUAAGCGAGAUGUGAAAGCCCCGGGCUCAACCUGGGAAUUGCAUUUCGAACUGGCAAACUAGAGUCUUGUAGAGGGGGGUAGAAUUCCAGGUGUAGCGGUGAAAUGCGUAGAGAUCUGGAGGAAUACCGGUGGCG